UAGACCAAUGUGCCAAGCAGACCAGUCUUG
RNAcentral lists this non-coding RNA (30 nucleotides) under Mus musculus (house mouse). Lineage: Eukaryota; Metazoa; Chordata; Mammalia; Rodentia; Muridae. The record is from RNAcentral.